GAUGAACGCUGGCGGCGUGCCUAAUACAUGCAAGUCGAGCGAACAGACGAGGAGCUUGCUCCUCUGACGUUAGCGGCGGACGGGUGAGUAACACGUGGAUAACCUACCUAUAAGACUGGGAUAACUUCGGGAAACCGGAGCUAAUACCGGAUAAUAUAUUGAACCGCAUGGUUCAAUAGUGAAAGACGGUUUUGCUGUCACUUAUAGAUGGAUCCGCGCCGCAUUAUCUAGUUGGUAAGGUAACGGCUUACCAAGGCAACGAUGCGUAGCCGACCUGAGAGGGUGAUCGGCCACCCUGGAACUGAGACACGGUCCAGACUCCUACGGGAGGCAGCAGUAGGGAAUCUUCCGCAACGGGCGAAAGCCUGACGGAGCAACGCCGCGUGAGUGAUGAAGGUCUUCGGAUCGUAAAACUCUGUUAUUAGGGAAGAACAAAUGUGUAAGUAACUAUGCACGUCUUGACGGUACCUAAUAAGAAAGCCACGGCUAACUACGUG
RNAcentral lists this ribosomal RNA (497 nucleotides) under uncultured bacterium. RNAcentral's name for it is "partial 16S ribosomal RNA". It matches the Rfam family "Bacterial small subunit ribosomal RNA", at positions 28 to 507 of the family's 1533-position model. The record is from RNAcentral.